Molecule: ribosomal RNA, 272 nt
Filed under: uncultured soil bacterium
Lineage: Bacteria
Description: partial 16S ribosomal RNA
Rfam family: Bacterial small subunit ribosomal RNA
Source: RNAcentral
CAGUCGGACGGGAUUUGGGAACUUGCUCCCAAUGAGAGUGGCGCACGGGUGCGUAACACGUAUGUAACCUACCUUUAUCAGGGGAAUAGCCUCUCGAAAGAGAGAUUAAGUCCGCAUAACAUUAAGACACAGCAUUGUGAUCUAAUCAAAUAUUUAUAGGAUAAAGAUGGGCAUGCGGAACAUUAGCUAGUUGGUAAGGUAACGGCUUACCAAGGCUACGAUGUUUAGGGGAUCUGAGAGGAUGACCCCCCACACUGGUACUGAGACACGGA